CUUCAUACCAAGAGCAACUGUUAAUUUGUCCUCAUGAGACUCAAUAUCCUCUGCAGACGCACGAGCCCUGUCGUCGGAAUCUUCUUCAGGGGUUGGCUCAUGCUGUGUUUUCUCACGCGACGUUGUCAGGCUACCUCUUCGAAUUUCUGUAUCCCUAUUUUUUACGGAUGUUCGCCUUGCCCCACGUCAUUUGCAGGUGUCGGUUGUGCCACGGCCAUCGCGAUCUGUGAUGGAAUUAUCUUUCUUGGCUUAACGGGCACAGUAUUCCAUUGCCCCAAAGAUUUUAGCAUCAAUCU
Molecule: unclassified non-coding RNA, 296 nt
Filed under: Athalia rosae (coleseed sawfly)
Lineage: Eukaryota; Metazoa; Arthropoda; Insecta; Hymenoptera; Athaliidae
Description: misc RNA ENSAEAG00005012664.1
Source: RNAcentral